GACCCAGCAUGAUGUAGUGGUUUGAGUGUUGGACUAUGACUCUGGAGACUAGGGUUCGAUUCCUUGCUCGGUCA
Molecule: non-coding RNA, 74 nt
Organism: Phrynosoma platyrhinos (Desert horned lizard)
Lineage: Eukaryota; Metazoa; Chordata; Lepidosauria; Squamata; Phrynosomatidae
Source: the annotation of a GenBank genome assembly